Molecule: long non-coding RNA, 2560 nt
Organism: Manis pentadactyla (Chinese pangolin)
Lineage: Eukaryota; Metazoa; Chordata; Mammalia; Pholidota; Manidae
Exons: 2
Source: RefSeq, a predicted model, not a curated record
CUCCCACCCGGAUGCACUCGCAACUUCCCGAGCAUGAGAGAACAUGGCUGCGAUUCACACCUCUGGAGAGCUGUCCGUGUUCACGGGGAAACUCGUUUUUCGGCUCAGUCGGAGGGAGAACCCAGCCAAGCACCCGCGCCCGAGGACUGGCACCAUCUUCUGGUUCUGCCCGGUCCGUCCUCUGGACAUGUCGACUUCCCUCUUGGGAAGCAUACCCUUCAGGAAAGGUUAACCAGCCAAGGUGUACAGCCGUGGGGAGCCGGGGUUCUGAGAAAAGCGGGGGCAGCCCCAAGUCCGGGCCAGCUCCGUCCGAGGCCCACGCAGAGGCGGGUCUGCAGCUCUGCCCCUCCACAGGCACAGGGGCCAGCGGGGUUCCGGCCAGACGGGGCCUGAGAGGCCGGCGGGUCCAGACCCUUCGUUUUCCAGCAGAGCCUCAGACACCGAGAGGGAUCCCGAAGGCAGUGCCUGGAUUCCCCAGACUGGAAGGCGGCAGAGCGGAUUCCGAGGCGCACACGCGGGGGAUCCCUGGGCUGCAGCUGCCUCUGCACGGCCUCCGGAGAGAACCGCCAGCGCCGUCACGGUCCUCGAGGAACCCGGGGCGCCGGGAGCAGAGGAGACCCGCAGGCCCCGAGCCUGGUGCUGGCAGACCCCGGGUCCCCAGGCGUCUCCGGGCCGGACGUCCCCAGCAAAGCCCCCUCCAGGGUGACGGUGCUCCUGCUCUCGGUGAAGUAUCACCUUUCCCCUCUGGGAUAGCUUGUACCUCCCCCUCACCCGCCUGAAGAGCUCAGGUGGGCUUGUACAACGUCCCGCACUCGGGAUCGGUCUGAUACGUCCUGGAUCCUGGUGGAACUGCUUGGCAAGAACAGCUUGUAGAGCAUCUGAGGACUUCCUGCCCCAGGGCCAGUGUGACCCCGGUGGGAGGGCGAGCAGCGGCCGUUCCCUUCCGGCAAAGGCGCAAACUGCCCCUGAUAAGCAGACGUCAUCUGGGAGGUGGCUGGAAUGAAGACAGCAUGUUAAGUCCGCAUUAGCAGGACUGUUGAUCGAGGAGGGCGGCCCACUGACUUUUGGAUCUAAACACUGAAAAUUAAAAUGUGAAUACACGGGUAGGCAAGCACGGAGAAUGGCCGACGGACAGCAACAGAUUCUCCCUCAAUAGCUUUGCAUGGGGUUGCUGCUGAUUUUUAUUUUCUGCUUCCUUAUUUGCCUUUUGUAUUUUUGAAAUAUUUUGAAAUAUUUUCAAAAGUUUCCAGGAAGGAAGAGAGCAGCAGCAGGCGGGUAAGGAGAAGCCCUGGUCCCUCCUUGGAGGCCACCGGUGUGGGGCAGGCGUGAUGGAGGGCCCUGGCCGCCACUGUGCGGGCAUCUUCAGCCAGCGUGGCACCGUCUGCAUCUACAGCCAGCAUCACACCCGCCACCCGGGUGGCUUCGCCGGCCUUGACAGAAGCUCUUUCCUGCAUCCCCUGGUCCCCACAGGCUAGAGGCACGUGUGCUAUUCCUGCCCCCAGUGCUGGCCUCCCUUAUCAGUUCCUUGUAGGAAACCCUCCCGGUGACCAGGAGUCCAGUCAGAGGAGACUUUCCAGGAGGGACACUGGCUGACACCCACCUGCACCGCCCAGCCCCUCUGUAGUGCCCACAGCUCCCCCAGAGGCAGCACACAGAGUCCUCCGGCUCGGGGGAGCAGUGCCCUCCAGGGUCUGGAAGAGGUGGGUGCUCAAGACAUCCAGGGACUAGAUGGGGACAGAGCGGGUGGACAUUCUGUGGACGGAGGCUCAGCCCAGCACUGACUCACUGAGACACUAGAGACCCCCAGGGAGCUCAUUACAGCCAGAGACACACGGACGAGCAGCCUGGGGCCCAGCAGAGCAGGGCGGGGAAGGCCGCAGUUGCCCCUCAGCAUCUGUGUCUCUGCCUGUGCCGUCCCCCUGGGGUGGGCCGAGGAGGGAGAGCCCGAACCCCAGCCCCUGGGCUUCCAGGGCAGCUCUGUCUUCUUUGCCUUCUUCUCUCCAAUUUGGAGCUGCCCACCAGCAGGUGCACCCCUCCAGCCCCUGCUUGUUACUGUCCUGGAAAGAGAGAUUCCUUUGCACCCCAGGGACUAUCAAACUGGGUGAGGGAGCAGGUGGACCAUUGACUUCCAGUUAAAGAUGUUUGGAGAUGAAGCUUCUCUGGCUUGGGUGACAGGAGCCCACGGGCCUCUGACAGUUCGGUCCCCAAAGCCUGCCGACGUGAGCCCUAGCGUGUGCGAGUGCACCGGGAGGUGUGGGCUCGCCUGCUCCCCGGCUUGGUGACACUUUCCUGUGCACCUGCUGAAUGUCACCGGUCAGCCAUGGACACAGGCCUUGCCAUUUCUAGAGGCAGCAAGCUGGAGGGGAUGCACACAGCACCCCGGCUUUCUCGCCUGGAGCGGCCCCCAGCUGUCGGCCACCCCAAACAGACAUCACACAUGAUUGUCAUGAUGGCCCAUCAGGCAUCGUGUCAGAAAAACCGACACUGUUGAACAAUUAGGAAUUCCAGCUCAGGACAGCCAUACUUUAAGGUUGAAAAUAAAAACUCUUCUUUGUCUUAA